RNAcentral lists this ribosomal RNA (415 nucleotides) under uncultured eukaryote. RNAcentral describes it as "bacterial SSU rRNA". It matches the Rfam family "Eukaryotic small subunit ribosomal RNA", at positions 13 to 408 of the family's 1831-position model. The record is from RNAcentral.
CCUGACGGUAGUCGUAUGCUCGUCUCCGAGACUAAGCCAUGCAAGUCCAAGUACACGUCCUUGAACGACGGAAACUGCGAACGGCUCAUUAAAUCAGUUGCGAUCUACUCGGCGUUCCGCGCCGCCGGAUAACCGUAGUAAUUCUAGGGCUAAUACGUGCGAAGCGCCCGAAGCCGCGAGGCGACGGGCGUUCUCGCCGGAUGUAGGAACCGACCCGGGGACCGCCGGGGCAACCCGGCGCCCCCGAGACGGGGCGAACCACGGUGAAAUGACGGAUCGUCGGCCCCGCGCCGGCGACUCGCCGAAUGAGUUUCUGACCUAUCAACUCGAGACGGCGGGGUAGAGGCCCGCCGCGGUAACGACGGGUAACGGGGAAUCAGGGUUCGAUUCCGGAGAGGGAGCCCGAGAAACGGCU